GGAGAUGUAGCUCAGCUGGUUAGAGCGCACGACUCAUAAUCGUGAGGUCGGUGGUUCAAGUCCACCCUUCUCUACCA
Molecule: transfer RNA, 77 nt
Filed under: Lautropia mirabilis
Lineage: Bacteria; Pseudomonadati; Pseudomonadota; Betaproteobacteria; Burkholderiales; Burkholderiaceae
Also listed under: 5 other names
Description: tRNA-Met
Rfam family: tRNA
About the family: Transfer RNA (tRNA) molecules are approximately 80 nucleotides in length. Their secondary structure includes four short double-helical elements and three loops (D, anti-codon, and T loops).
Source: RNAcentral